RNAcentral lists this long non-coding RNA (532 nucleotides) under Mytilus galloprovincialis (Mediterranean mussel). Lineage: Eukaryota; Metazoa; Mollusca; Bivalvia; Mytilida; Mytilidae. The record is from RNAcentral.
CUAGGGAUAGUCUUUACCUCUAGUGGUCUUUUUCAACAGGGGAAAGAAGAGCUAUUCAAAAAAUCCUUAAAGGCAAAAUUCAAAUUACAAAAAUCCAUGUCAGCUUGUAAUCCAAGUAUUGAUACUGCAAUACAUUUAUAUGAUCACACAAUAAAACCAAUUUUAUUAUAUUGUAGUGAAAUUUGGGGUUCAUUUAAAAUUAACUCUGCUGCUUGCAAGAAAAAAAGUGAUUAUCUAUUUGAAUUAAUCUACAUAAAUGAUUAUUUGGAAAAAUCACAUUUCAGAUAUUUAAAGUAUAUUCUUGGUGUAAAUAAGAAAGCCUCAAAUUUAGCAGUGUUAUCAGAGGUUGCAAGAUUUCCUCUUUAUUUUUCUGUCAUUAUAUCUAUGGUAAAAUAUGUACACAGGCUUAACAAGUUGGACAAAGGGUUACUUUAUGAUGCUUAUGUUUGUAAUAAAAUUUUAGAUGCAGAAAACAUUAAUUGUUGGUAUUCAUCUAUGAAAUAUGUACUUCAAUCACUUGAUAUACAAAUUU